UAUGAACUUUAAGCUCUCAUCUAUAUGCACAUCUGUGUGUGGAAUCACCAACGAUUCGUCGGCGAAGCACUUCUUGAGAUUGCAGAUGUGGAACACAUUGUGAAUUCCAUUGAGCUCUUCAGGCAAGUUUAGUUUAUAGGCAACUGAUCCGACUCGUUCAAUGACCUCAAAAGGCCCUAUGUAUCUCGGACUCAGCUUGCCCUUCUUGCCGAAACGCAUCACCCCCUUCCAGGGUGACACCUUAAGUAAUACCUUUUCACCCACUUCGAAGUGAAAAUCCUUACGCUUUGGAUCAGCGUAGCUCUUCUGCCUAUCGCGGGCAGCCUUGAGACGUUCCCGGAUCUGGACAAUCUUGUCCGGUUUUUCUAUGAACUUUAAGCUCUCAUCUAUAUGCACAUCUUUUAUAGGCAACUGAUCCGACUCGUUCAAUGACCUCAAAAGGCCCUAUGUAUCUCGGACUCAGCUUGC
RNAcentral lists this long non-coding RNA (468 nucleotides) under Helianthus annuus (common sunflower). RNAcentral's name for it is "sRNA HanXRQr2_Chr15g0673681". The record is from RNAcentral. Lineage: Eukaryota; Viridiplantae; Streptophyta; Magnoliopsida; Asterales; Asteraceae.